This 238-nucleotide ribosomal RNA is filed under the name Escherichia coli. RNAcentral's name for it is "partial 16S ribosomal RNA". It matches the Rfam family "Bacterial small subunit ribosomal RNA", at positions 1 to 235 of the family's 1533-position model. Lineage: Bacteria; Pseudomonadati; Pseudomonadota; Gammaproteobacteria; Enterobacterales; Enterobacteriaceae. RNAcentral also lists the same sequence under 2 other names. The record is from RNAcentral.
AAAUUGAAGAGUUUGAUCAUGGCUCAGAUUGAACGCUGGCGGCAGGCCUAACACAUGCAAGUCGAACGGUAACAGGAAGCAGCUUGCUGCUUCGCUGACGAGUGGCGGACGGGUGAGUAAUGUCUGGGAAACUGCCUGAUGGAGGGGGAUAACUACUGGAAACGGUAGCUAAUACCGCAUAAUGUCGCAAGACCAAAGAGGGGGACCUUCGGGCCUCUUGCCAUCGGAUGUGCCCAGA